RNAcentral lists this ribosomal RNA (221 nucleotides) under uncultured bacterium. RNAcentral describes it as "partial 16S ribosomal RNA". It matches the Rfam family "Bacterial small subunit ribosomal RNA", at positions 99 to 334 of the family's 1533-position model. The record is from RNAcentral.
CGCACGGGUGAGUAACACGUGAAUGAUCUACCUCCGAGUGGGGAAUAACUGAGAGAAAUCUUAGCUAAUACCGCAUAACACUUACGAGUCAAAGCAGCAAUGCGCUUGGAGAGGAGUUCGCGGCCGAUUAGUUAGUUGGCGGGGUAAUGGCCCACCAAGACGAUGAUCGGUAUCCGGCCUGAGAGGGCGCACGGACACACUGGAACUGAAACACGGUCCAG